This is a small nucleolar RNA of Entelurus aequoreus (snake pipefish), 78 nucleotides long. RefSeq annotates it as small nucleolar RNA SNORD72. The record is from RefSeq and is a predicted model, not a curated record. Lineage: Eukaryota; Metazoa; Chordata; Actinopteri; Syngnathiformes; Syngnathidae. The transcript has a single exon.
GUCUUGUCAGUGAUGUUCUCAAUGUCCGAACCAAUGAUAAAAUAUGAUUCCAGCAUAUCUAGAUAACUGAGACAAGAC